AGAAAGGGCCUUGCAUCCCUCGUCAUGUUGGUCUCUUGGGAGAUUUGGAACAAGCGAAACGCCCAGGUGUUUAGAAAUGUGUCAUCCUUGCCAACUGUAAUCACAUCUAAGAUUAAGACCAAUGCUGGGUUAUUGGGGUUGGCGGGGGCUGUCAGUGUCAAAACCGGCGGAUCUCGGGUAGGGGGUCCCGAACUGUGCGUCUAA
Molecule: ribosomal RNA, 204 nt
Filed under: Triticum aestivum (bread wheat)
Lineage: Eukaryota; Viridiplantae; Streptophyta; Magnoliopsida; Poales; Poaceae
Description: partial small subunit ribosomal RNA
Source: RNAcentral